RNAcentral lists this unclassified non-coding RNA (376 nucleotides) under uncultured fungus. RNAcentral describes it as "partial contains small subunit ribosomal RNA, internal transcribed spacer 1, and 5.8S ribosomal RNA". The stretch from base 1 to 73 matches the Rfam family "Eukaryotic small subunit ribosomal RNA", at positions 1759 to 1831 of the family's 1831-position model. The record is from RNAcentral. Lineage: Eukaryota; Fungi.
GCAAACUUGGUCAUUUAGAGGAAGUAAAAGUCGUAACAAGGUUUCUGUAGGUGAACCUGCGGAAGGAUCAUUAACGAAUAUCUAUGGCGUUGGUUGUAGCUGGCUUCUAAGAGCAUUUUGUGCACACCUGUCAUUUAUAUCAUCUUUCCACCUGUGAACUAUGUGUAGGCCUGGAUACUCCUCGCUUUGGCAACAAAGCGGAUGCAAGGAUUGCUGCGUCGACAAGGCUGGCUCUCUUUGAAUUUCCAGGUUCUAUGUCUUUUACACACCCCAUUUGAAAGAUAUAGAAUGUAGUCAAUGGGCUUUCAUGCCUAUAAAACACUAUACAACUUUCAGCAACGGAUCUCUUGGCUCUCGCAUCGAUGAAGAACGCAGC